CAGCCGCCGCGGUAAUACGUAGGUGGCGAGCGUUGUCCGGAUUUAUUGGGCGUAAAGGGAGUGUAGGCAGUCUUUUAAGUCUGAUGUGAAAGCCCACGGCUCAAUCGUGGAGGGUCAUUGGAAACUGGGAGACUUGAGUGCAGAAGAGGAGAGCGGAAUUCCAUGUGUAGCGGUGAAAUGCGUAGAUAUAUGGAGGAACACCAGUGGCGAAGGCGGCUCUCUGGUCUGUAACUGACGCUGAGGCUCGAAAGCGUGGGGAGCAAACAGGAUUAGAUACCCCUGUAGUCCCUGUCUCUUAUAC
This 301-nucleotide ribosomal RNA is filed under the name uncultured bacterium. Its description in RNAcentral is "partial 16S ribosomal RNA". It matches the Rfam family "Bacterial small subunit ribosomal RNA", at positions 509 to 807 of the family's 1533-position model. The record is from RNAcentral.